ACGCUGGCGGCAUGCUUUACACAUGCAAGUCGGACGGCAGCACAGAGAAGCUUGCCUCUUGGGUGGCGAGUGGCGAACGGGUGAGUAACAUAUCGGAACGUACCGAGUAGUGGGGGAUAACUGAUCGAAAGAUCAGCUAAUACCGCAUACGUCUUGAGAGGGAAAGCAGGGGACCUUCGGGCCUUGCGCUAUUCGAGCGGCCGAUAUCUGAUUAGCUAGUUGGUGGGGUAAAGGCCUACCAAGGCGACGAUCAGUAGCGGGUCUGAGAGGAUGAUCCGCCACACUGGGACUGAGACACGGCCCAGACUCCUACGGGAGGCAGCAGUGGGGAAUUUUGGACAAUGGGCGCAAGCCUGAUCCAGCCAUGCCGCGUGUCUGAAGAAGGCCUUCGGGUUGUAAAGGACUUUUGUCAGGGAAGAAAAGGCUGUUGCUAAUAUCAGCGGCUGAUGACGGUACCUGAAGAAUAAGCUCCGGCUAACUACGUGCCAGCAGCCGCGGUAAUACGUAGGGUGCGAGCGUUAAUCGGAAUUACUGGGCGUAAAGCGAGCGCAGACGGUUACUUAAGCAGGAUGUGAAAUCCCCGGGCUCAACCUGGGAACUGCGUUCUGAACUGGGUGACUAGAGUGUGUCAGAGGGAGGUAGAAUUCCACGUGUAGCAGUGAAAUGCGUAGAGAUGUGGAGGAAUACCGAUGGCGAAGGCAGCCUCCUGGGAUAACACUGACGUUCAUGCUCGAAAGCGUGGGUAGCAAACAGGAUUAGAUACCCUGGUAGUCCACGCCCUAAACGAUGUCAAUUAGCUGUUGGGCAACUUGAUUGUUCAGUAGCGUAGCUAACGCGUGAAAUUGACCGCCUGGGGAGUACGGUCGCAAGAUUAAAACUCAAAGGAAUUGACGGGGACCCGCACAAGCGGUGGAUGAUGU
This 920-nucleotide ribosomal RNA is filed under the name uncultured bacterium. RNAcentral describes it as "bacterial SSU rRNA". It matches the Rfam family "Bacterial small subunit ribosomal RNA", at positions 33 to 942 of the family's 1533-position model. The record is from RNAcentral.